GACGAACGCUGGCGGCGUGCUUAACACAUGCAAGUCGAACGAAGUGGCGAACGGGUGAGUAACGCGUAAUCAACCUGCCCUUCAGAGGGGGACAACAGCUGGAAACGACUGCUAAUACCGCAUACUGAAGGAGGUGAGUGCGUCUGAUUAGCAAGUUGGAGGGGUAACGGCCCACCAAGGCGAUGAUCAGUAGCCGGUCUGGGGGGAUGAACGGCCACAUUGGGACUGAGACACGGCCCAGACUCCUACGGGAGGCAGCAGUGGGGAAUCUUCCGCAAUGGAGGAAAGUCUGACGGAGCAACGCCGCGUGGGUGAUGACGGCCUUCGGGAUGUAAAGCUCUGUUAAUCGGGACGCGGUACCGAAAUAGAAAGCCACGGCUAACUACGUGCCAGCAGCCGCGGUAAUUC
Molecule: ribosomal RNA, 408 nt
Filed under: uncultured bacterium
Lineage: Bacteria
Description: partial 16S ribosomal RNA
Rfam family: Bacterial small subunit ribosomal RNA
Source: RNAcentral